UUAUUUCUGGGUUAAGCCCUGAAGGCAUUCGUGCUGGUCGCUAUUUCCGGGUUAAGUCCCGAAGGCAUUUGUGCUGGUUGUUACAUCCGGGCUAAAUCCCGAAGGCAAUUGGGUUGGAAAUUUGCGAUCUUGUCGUAAUAACUUCUAUUGAUGGGCUUACAACCCUAAGAUGAUCAGGUAUGCAUCGUAUAUACAUUGAAAUUAAGUUAAGAUUGACUAUGAGCAUGUAAGUAUAUGGGUUGAAGUGUGAAGUAACAUAAGUAUGUGAUUUUUGCGUAUUUGCAUUUAUUUAGCCUUGUAAUCGAAUUAGAUGUAUUCGGCAUAAUUAUAAGGUUAGUUGGGUAAAAAGAGAUUAUCUACAUGAUACGAAUUCGUGUUUAAGGAAAAAUUUAAGAUGACAUGUAUGAACGAUAGGGGUAUAUUUAAUCAUGGCUACAUUCAGUCAGAAAGAUGAUGAGCCUUCUGAAUGCUAUGCUUUAGUUAUAAAUGAUUUCAUUACUUAAGACUUACUAAGCAUCGAAAUGCUUACUCUUUUUGCCUUCAUUCCCUGUUUUAUAGAUUUUGUUCGUGAACUAUCGGACUCGGGAGAUCCAAAGUCGAAGUCGUCCACACUAUCUAAACCU
Molecule: long non-coding RNA, 623 nt
Filed under: Gossypium barbadense (sea-island cotton)
Lineage: Eukaryota; Viridiplantae; Streptophyta; Magnoliopsida; Malvales; Malvaceae
Description: long non-coding RNA (GBAR_LNC012564)
Source: RNAcentral